UUGAAUGUUUUCUAGGGUUCCGCAACUGUCAGUGUUGGUCUGGUCCGAGAGAAAACUCACAGCUAUGCUGUGUCACGGAAGGAUAAAAGCCUGGGAGGA
Molecule: non-coding RNA, 99 nt
Organism: Sporosarcina psychrophila
Lineage: Bacteria; Bacillati; Bacillota; Bacilli; Caryophanales; Caryophanaceae
Source: Rfam